UGGGGAAUAUUGCACAAUGGAGGGAACUCUGAUGCAGCGACGCCGCGUGAGUGAUGAAGGAAUUCGUUUCGUAAAACUCUGUUCUAUGGGAAGAAAAGGACUGUACCAUAGGAGAAAGCUCCGGCUAAAUACGUGCUAGCAGCCGCGGUAAUACGUAUGGAGCGAGCGUUUUCCGGAAUUAUUGGGCGUAAAGGGUGCGCAGGCGGCUUUACAAGUUGGAUGUGAAAUAUUGUGGCUCAACCACAAACGUGCAUCCAAAACUGCAAAGCUUGAGUUAAGGAGAGGUAAGUGGAAUUCCUGGGGUAGCGGUGGAAUGCGUAGAUAUCAGGAGGAAUACCGGUGGCGAAGGCGACUUACUGGACUUAAACUGACGCUCAGGCACGAAAGCGUGGGGAGCAAACAGG
RNAcentral lists this ribosomal RNA (404 nucleotides) under Fusobacteriota bacterium. RNAcentral describes it as "Fusobacteria bacterium partial 16S ribosomal RNA". It matches the Rfam family "Bacterial small subunit ribosomal RNA", at positions 355 to 776 of the family's 1533-position model. The record is from RNAcentral. Lineage: Bacteria; Fusobacteriati; Fusobacteriota.